RNAcentral lists this long non-coding RNA (5603 nucleotides) under Sorghum bicolor (sorghum). RNAcentral's name for it is "long non-coding RNA (SBIC_LNC002077)". The record is from RNAcentral. Lineage: Eukaryota; Viridiplantae; Streptophyta; Magnoliopsida; Poales; Poaceae.
GAAUACAUCAGAAAACGCUGCCGCGAUUUGCAGCACAAAAACUCUGUGUUCCAGUGUUCGUGUGUGUUCUUGUUCCCUCACCUCUGCUCGUGUCCUCGCCGCCGGUGUGCACCGACGUCCGGUGACUGACAAGUGGCAUCAGAGCUAGGAUCGAUCGAGCUCCGCGACGAUCAUGUCGUCACCGCCGCCGAAGAGCACAAAGGAGAAGGGCGACGGUUCCAGCGGCAAGUCCCCGACGCGCUCACGCUCCCCACGGCGUCGCUCCCCGCGGCGUCGCUCUCGUCGCGGUGACCACAGCCGCUCAGUGACCCGCGACGCACGCCGUCCGUGGGAGAUCGUCGUCGAGCGCAUCGUCCGCGAGGGGGGCAGCGUUGGCAACUGGCCGCAGCUGACACGGACCAACUACCAUGAGUGGUCACUCCGCAUGAAGUUGAAGCUGCAGGCGCGCCACCUCUGGGACGCCAUCGAGUUCGACGACGUCGAGUUCGACGACGACCGCAGCGCCCUCGACGCCAUCUGCAGCGCUGUCCCCGGCGACAUGGUGCCCGCGCUCGCCACGAAGGAGACGGCCAAGGAGGCUUGGGAGACCAUCAGGACGCUCCGCAUCGGGGACGAACGCGUGCGGACGGCCACGGCGCAGUCCCUCCGCGCCGAGUACGAGAACAUCGCGCUCCGUGAAGGCGAGGCCAUCGAGGACUUCUCCCUGCGCCUCACCGGGAUCGUGCAGCGCCUUGCGACACUCGGCGACCCCGAGCCCGAGGCCAAAGUGGUGGCCAAAUACCUCCGCGUCGCCCGCGCACGCUACAAGCAGCUGGUAAUUUCAAUUGAGACCUUGCUUGACAUCUCUCAGCUAUCCAUUGAGGAGGUCACGGGAAGGCUCAAGGCGGCCGACGACGUCGAGCCUACACCAGCGCACACUGCGGGCGGUAAGCUGCUCCUUACGGAGGAGCAGUGGAUCGAGAGGUACAAGAAGAAGGACCAAGAGUCCAGUCGCGGCGGCUCCACCUCCGGCGGCCGUGGCAAGCAGCGCGGCAGAGGCCGCGGUCGUGGCUCCGGCGGCUCCAGUCGAGGACCUCCACCAGAUGAGCCUUGCCCGCGCUGUGGCAAGAAGGGGCAUUGGGCCCGCGACUGCCGCAGCAAGAAGAAGGAGGAGCCCGCUCAGCAGGCCCAUGUGGCCCAAGAGGAAGAGGCCACCCUGAUGCUAGCCAUCGGUGCGGCCCAGGAGGAGUCCCUCGUCUCCACUCCGCCGCCCUCGCCACGCUCCACCGAGCCGCCGCCGCCGCAAUCCGUGGCGCUCCCCGAGCUCCACGUCGUGGAGAAGAAGGUCCACGCCGAGCUCAGCGACGAGGCGGACCGGGACCCGUCGCGCUGGAUCCUGGACACUGGCGCAUCGAAUCAUAUGUCCGGAUCCCGCGCCGCCUUCGCCGACAUCGACACCGGCGUCACCGGCUCCGUCCGAUUCGGGGAUGGCUCCGUCGCGCGCAUCGAGGGCAUCGGCACGGUGCUCUUCCAAUGCAAGAACGGGGAGCAUCGCGCGCUCGCCAACGUCUACUUCCUCCCGCGCCUUACCGCCAACAUCAUCUCCGUCGGACAGCUGGAUGAAGGCGGGUACCAGGUGCUGGUGGAACACGGCGUGAUGCGGGUGCGUGACGAAGACCGGCGACUCCUCGCCAAGAUCCCACGGAGUCCCGGGCGGCUGUACACCCUCGACGUCACCAUCGCGCGCCCUGUGUGCUUGGCGGCACGCACUGACGACGACGCCUGGCGAUGGCACGCGCGGUUCGGCCACAUCCACUUCGCCGCGCUGCGCAAGAUGGGACGCGAGGAGCUCGUCCGCGGCCUGCCAGUCAUCGACCAAGUCCAGCAGGUCUGUGAGGCCUGCCUCGCCGGCAAGCAGAAGAGGGCGCCGUUUCCCCAGAAGAUGCUCAGGCGUUCCACGGAGCCGCUCCAGCUCCUCCAUGGAGACAUCUGCGGUCCAAUCACGCCGGCGACACCGAGUGGUAACAGAUACUUCCUACUGCUGGUCGAUGAUUAUUCACGUUUUAUGUGGAUCUCCCUGCUGCCGACCAAGGAUGCCGCGGCCAACGCCAUCAAGAACAUCCAGGCCGCGGCGGAACGCAAGAGUGGCAAGAAGGUGGUGACGCUGCGCACAGACCGUGGUGGAGAAUUCGCCGCCGCUGACUUCGUCGACUACUGCGCUCAACUCGGCGUCCACAGGCAACUCACGGCGCCGUACACACCUCAACAAAACGGCGUCGUGGAGCGGCGCAAUCAGACCGUCGUGGGCACGGCCAGAAGCAUGAUGAAGGCCAAGGCUCUCCCUGGGGUGUUCUGGGGGGAGGCUGUGACGACGACAGUCUACCUGCUGAACAGGUCUUCGUCCAAGGCGAUCGGCGGCAAGACUCCUUACCAGCUUUGGAACGGGAGCACGCCGUCGGUCCAGCACCUCAGGACGUUCGGCUGCAUCGCCCACGUGAAAGUGAACACGCCUCACCUCAAGAAGCUAGAGGACCGCAGCCGGCGCAUGGUGUUUGUCGGCUACGAACCGGGGUCCAAGGCUUAUCGAGCCUACGAUCCCUCGACGCGCCGAGUCCACAUCAGCCGCGAUGUGGUGUUCGAUGAGGCGGCGCAGUGGGCGUGGUCAGCAACGGACCACAACGAGCCUGGAGACUUCAACAUUGAAGAGUCGACGCCGCAGGAGCUCCCUGUGAUCACCACCACCAGAACGACUACGGCUUAUGCUCCUGCAUCGAGCUCCGCUUCACCGACUCCCUCAAGCGUGCACGCGUCUCCUGUCGGCCCCGACCCAGCAUCGCCGUCAAGCCUCGCGACACAGCCCCAGGUCCAGUUCGCAUCUCCACCGGUAUCCGGGGCUGACGAGCAUCUCGACGCCGAUCACGACGACGACGCACCCCUGCGUUUUCGGCGCCUCGACAACGUGCUUGGACAGGCUGACACGCCUGGUCUUGCACACCGCGAGCUGGAGGAACGCUUGCUGUUGGCCAGUGACGCUGAGCCGACAUCCUUCGAGGAGGCGAUGCGCCACGAGUGCUGGCGCCUUGCAAUGCUUGACGAAAUGACCUCCAUCGAGGCCAGCGGUACAUGGAACCUGGUGGAGCUGCCGGCGCGUGCAAAGCCCAUCGGCCUCAAGUGGGUGUACAAGGUCAAAAAGGACGCCUCCGGCAUCGUCACCAAGCACAAGGCUCGCCUCGUCGCCAAGGGGUACGUGCAGCGGCAGGGCAUCGACUAUGACGAAGUCUUCGCCCCUGUUGCUCGGCUGGAGUCUGUUCGGCUCCUGCUAGCUCACGCCGCCUGUCAAGGCUGGGCUGUCCAUCACAUGGACGUGAAGUCCGCGUUCUUGAACGGCGUGCUCCAGGAGGAGGUGUACGUCGCACAGCCCCCCGGCUUCGUUCUGCGUGGGCAAGAGAACAAGGUCCUGCGCCUCAUCAAGGCCCUGUACGGGCUACGCCAAGCGCCGAGGGCGUGGUACGCCAAGCUCGACAAGUCCCUCAUCGGACUUGGGUUUCGGAGGAGCCCCUCUGAGCACGCCGUCUAUCUGCGCGGAGCCGGUGCACGCCGGCUGGUGGUGGGGGUCUAUGUCGAUGACCUCAUCAUCGCCGGCGGCAACCAGGUCGACAUCGACACCUUCAAGGGACAGAUGAAAGCCACUUUCAAGAUGAGCGACUUGGGCCUGCUCCACUACUACCUUGGUCUGGAGGUGUCUCAGACUGAGGCUGGCAUCACCAUCUGCCAGAGUUCUUACGCUGCCAAGAUCCUAGAGACAGCAGGCCUGACAGGGUGCAAUCCCAGCGCAACGCCGAUGGAGCCUCGCCUGAAGUUGAGCAAGGUGAGCUCAGCCCCAGCCAUCGACUCAUCCAUGUAUCGCAGUGUGGUGGGCUCGCUGCGGUAUUUGGUGAACUCAAGACCGGACUUGACGUACUCGGUGGGCUACAUCAGCCGAUUCAUGGAGAAUCCGACCACCGAACACCUGGCAGCCAUGAAGCGAGUGCUGCGAUACGUUGCGGGCACUCUGCACUUCGGCUGCUGCUACAAGAGGAAGAAGAAUCCCCAGCUGGUCGGCUACAGCGACAGUGACAUGGCUGGGGACAUUGACACGCGCAAGAGUACCUCAGGUAUCCUCUUCUUCCUCGGCGACAACACCAUCACCUGGCAGUCACAGAAGCAGAAGAUUGUGGCACUGUCCUCCUGCGAAGCGGAGUACAUUGCAGCGACGACAGCAGCUUGCCAGGGGGUAUGGCUGGCGCGGCUGCUUGCUGAACUCAAGAGCGAGCAGGCUGACGCCGUCACUUUGAGGAUCGACAACGAGUCCGCCAUCGCACUCAGCAAGAAUCCCGUCUUCCAUGAUCGCAGUAAGCACAUUGAUGUUCGUUAUCAUUACAUUCGUGAGUGUGUUGAGGAAGACAGGGUGAAACUCCAGUCCAUCGGGACGGAGGAGCAGCUGGCGGACAUUCUUACCAAAGCACUGGGGCGUGAACGCUUUUGCGAGUUACGUUCCAGAAUUGGUGUCGUUUGUGUACAGGGACUACACAAGGAUUAGGAGGAGAAUUUGUUAGUAAUCCUUUUGUAGUCUGUUACAUAGCAUAGCAUGUUUGUUAUUCUGUUCUGCAUGCACACGAGGGCCGGCUUGUGGUGCCCGUGUGCGUAGGAGGUAGUGGACGAGAUUAGCUCGCCAUGAACCUGAGCAUGCAAGCCAUGGCCGGCUGUUACGGCGCAUGGGGAUGGACGUGCGCAUCCUGCGUGAUCGUGCGGCCGUGGCUUGUGCUGCUCUGCUUUGUAAUUCCAAUAAAUAAGAGUCGAAUACAUCAGAAAACGCUGCCGCGAUUUGCAGCACAAAAACUCUGUGUUCCAGUGUUCGUGUGUGUUCUUGUUCCCUCACCUCUGCUCGUGUCCUCGCCGCCGGUGUGCACCGACGUCCGGUGACUGACAGAUUCAACCAGAGAUUCUUGCGGGUCCUUCAGCUCUUGCAAUUUUGAGGUGAAUUCCAUUUUUCUUAUCUGUUGGGCAGAGCAUGAGCACACCCCACCCUUGGAUCAUAACCAUAAUUUUCAGCAACAAAGAUUAUAUAUUUUACAUCCUUCCAACCUACAUUCCGAAAGCACAUGCAAUUUCUCAGUUUCCAGAUCCCCAACGUGGCAGUAGCCAAAAAAAAAGUUAACAAAAGUAAACUUCUUAUCACUUCGCCAAGUUGUCCAGGCCCCAGACAAGAAAUCCUGUCCACGAGGUCUAGCAAAACCGAGGAGAUAAAGCUCCAAAUCUGCUUAUCAGCUAGCAGUUGAAGAACAAAUGGUGAACAGACUCUCUUUCACAACAAAACAGGAUAAAAUGAUCCUUUUAUUAUCUCCCUUCCUCUCACCCCAGGUUAUCCCCAGUUAGCAGUUAGGAGGUUGUUGUUACCAAACAGCCAGAGUAAAAAGUGAACUCUGAGAGGUUUUUAAGCUGUCAAACUGCAGGAACUGGAACGGAAUAAGUUUCAAAUUGAUCACCCUCUAUAAUGGUUGGGAAGAAUAGAGAUCACUAGAUUCAAAUUGCCAUACUAAUGCAUCUUCUGAUCAUAAGAAUCUGUCAGUUCGGUUAUAUACUCG